UACGAACGCUGGCGGCGUGCUUAACACAUGCAAGUCGAACGGAAAGGCCCUGCUUUUGUGGGGUGCUCGAGUGGCGAACGGGUGAGUAACACGUGAGUAACCUGCCCUUGACUUUGGGAUAACUUCAGGAAACUGGGGCUAAUACCGGAUAGGAGCUCCUGCUGCAUGGUGGGGGUUGGAAAGUUUCGGCGGUUGGGGAUGGACUCGCGGCUUAUCAGCUUGUUGGUGGGGUAGUGGCUUACCAAGGCUUUGACGGGUAGCCGGCCUGAGAGGGUGACCGGCCACAUUGGGACUGAGAUACGGACCAGCCUCCUCAGGGAGGCAGCAGUGGGGAAUAUUGCACAAUGGGCGGAAGCCUGAUGCAGCAACGCCGCGUGCGGGAUGACGGCCUUCGGGUUGUAAACCGCUUUCGCCUGUGACGAAGCGUGAGUGACGGUAAUGGGUAAAGAAGCACCGGCUAACUACGUG
This 468-nucleotide ribosomal RNA is filed under the name uncultured bacterium. RNAcentral describes it as "partial 16S ribosomal RNA". It matches the Rfam family "Bacterial small subunit ribosomal RNA", at positions 29 to 507 of the family's 1533-position model. The record is from RNAcentral.